CUCGAGGCCAGAUCUUUCCGGUUGAUCCUGCCGGACCUGACUGCUAUCGGAUCGAUACUAAGCCAUGCGAGUCAUUGUAGUAAUACAAGGCAGACGGCUCAGUAACGCGUAGUCAACCUAACCUAUGGACGGGAAUAACCUCGGGAAACUGAGUAUAAUGCCCGAUAGAACAUUAUGCCUGGAAUGGUUUAUGUUCCAAAUGAUUUAUCGCCGUAGGAUGGGACUGCGGCCUAUCAGUUUGUUGGUGAGGUAAUGGCCCACCAAGACUAUUACAGGUACGGGCUCUGAGAGGAGUAGCCCGGAGAUGGGUACUGAGACACGGACCCAGGCCCUAUGGGGCGCAGCAGGCGAGAAAACUUUGCAAUGUGCGAAAGCACGACAAGGUUAAUCCGAGUGGUUUCUGCUAAAGGAACCUUUUGUCGGUCCUAGAAACACCGAUGAAUAAGGGGUGGGCAAGAUCUGGUGUCAGCCGCCGCGGUAAAACCAGCACCUCAAGUGGUCAGGAUGAUUAUUGGGCCUAAAGCAUCCGUAGCCGGCUCUGUUAGUUUUCGGUUAAA
RNAcentral lists this ribosomal RNA (557 nucleotides) under uncultured archaeon. RNAcentral describes it as "bacterial SSU rRNA". It matches the Rfam family "Archaeal small subunit ribosomal RNA", at positions 1 to 549 of the family's 1478-position model. The record is from RNAcentral.